Molecule: unclassified non-coding RNA, 334 nt
Filed under: soil metagenome
Description: partial contains 5.8S ribosomal RNA, internal transcribed spacer 2, and large subunit ribosomal RNA
Rfam family: 5.8S ribosomal RNA (bases 1-120)
Source: RNAcentral
GAUGAAGAACGUAGCGAAAUGCGAUAAGUAAUGUGAAUUGCAGAAUUCAGUGAAUCAUCGAAUCUUUGAACGCACAUUGCGCCCGCCAGUAUUCUGGCGGGCAUGCCUGUUCGAGCGUCAUUUCAACCAUCAAGCCCCCGGCUUGUGUUGGGGACCUGCGGCUGCCGCAGGCCCUGAAAUACAGUGGCGGGCUCGCUGUCACUCCGAGCGUAGUAGUUACAUCUCGCUCUGGGCGUGCUGCGGGUUCCGGCCGUUAAAAGCCUUAUUUACCCAAGGUUGACCUCGGAUCAGGUAGGAAGACCCGCUGAACUUAAGCAUAUCAAUAAGCGGAGGA